GUGGAGCGAAGCAGGAUGACCUGCAUGGCGAUCAGUGGGUGUACAAACACACUAUGAGGCGGUGGACCCGUGUGAUCGUGGUGCCACGGCCGCCUUGCCCAGCAGGGCAGAGGCUGGACAUGCUGGGCUCGUGCCGUCCUGUGCUGGGGCCAAGCCACACUGAAGCGCCGCUGCCGGCGGUGCUGCUGUUCAGCGGGCUCGGGUCUGGGCCUGGACCGCUUCAGCCCGCCCCACCGCCGGCUGGCCCGCCUGGUGACCGGCGCGGCGGCGCUGCAUGACGUUGGCAAACGCAGCCGAGUACAGGGCAACAGCCGAGUCCGCCGGCUGGCCCACCUGGUGACCGGCACGGCGGCCCUGCACGACACUGGGAGCUCAACCGUACCCGAGACGGAACCCACCCCGCCGGGCAGUCAGCAGCCACUCACAGGCCGUCAGCGCCCACGCAUGGACAGACGGCUACAACAGCUGGCACGUGUUUUCAUCAAGAACAUGUAUAUACACGUCACGUCUGUCAAACACGCAAACACACCACCGCAGUCCUCCUGAACAGUCGGACAUCAGGAUGGGGCAUACACGCGACUGCGUAGUGGUCGCGUCGGUGGCGUUACCAGCCCUACCAUCGGGAAGAAGCGGCGAUCACCGUUGGACUGCUCGUGAUUGAGUCGCAUCUUACUGAUGCCACUUAAGCAACUAUUCGGUGGCCGAAAUAUAUUUGAUAAAUCAUGCGA
Molecule: long non-coding RNA, 728 nt
Organism: Pollicipes pollicipes
Lineage: Eukaryota; Metazoa; Arthropoda; Thecostraca; Pollicipedomorpha; Pollicipedidae
Exons: 2
Source: RefSeq, a predicted model, not a curated record